UAGGGAAUCUUCGGCAAUGGACGAAAGUCUGACCGAGCAACGCCGCGUGAGUGAAGAAGGUUUUCGGAUCGUAAAACUCUGUUGUUAGAGAAGAACAAUGACGUUAGUAACUGAACGUCCCCUGACGGUAUCUAACCAGAAAGCCACGGCUAACUACGUGCCAGCAGCCGCGGUAAUACGUAGGUGGCAAGCGUUGUCCGGAUUUAUUGGGCGUAAAGCGAGCGCAGGCGGUGUCUUAAGUCUGAUGUGAAAGCCCCCGGCUCAACCGGGGAGGGUCAUUGGAAACUGGGAGACUUGAGUGCAGAAGAGGAGAGUGGAAUUCCAUGUGUAGCGGUGAAAUGCGUAGAUAUAUGGAGGAACACCAGUGGCGAAGGCGGCUCUCUGGUCUGUAACUGACGCUGAGGCUCGAAAGCGUGGGGAGCAAACAGG
Molecule: ribosomal RNA, 429 nt
Filed under: Gemmatimonadota bacterium
Lineage: Bacteria; Pseudomonadati; Gemmatimonadota
Description: Gemmatimonadetes bacterium partial 16S ribosomal RNA
Rfam family: Bacterial small subunit ribosomal RNA
Source: RNAcentral